This is a long non-coding RNA of Bactrocera oleae (olive fruit fly), 1733 nucleotides long. RefSeq lists it as uncharacterized. The record is from RefSeq and is a predicted model, not a curated record. Lineage: Eukaryota; Metazoa; Arthropoda; Insecta; Diptera; Tephritidae.
AACUUAGCCCUUCCUUACUUGUUAUUACUAUUAUCUUUUGUCCUAUCACAUUUUGUCAUUCACAUUGAAAUUGCCGGUUUUUUAUCCUCUUAUGUAAUUUAGUUCCGCAUGAGAACUUAAACGCAAAGAAAGAACCAUUUCAGUAUGCUUCUUAUAUUUUUCUGUUAGUAAAAGGGUCAGUUGCUGCUUAAUAGGUCAUGAUUUCAAGUGAUUUGGAAUAAAUGCAAAUCAUUUUUUGUGUGUUUUUGUAAAGAAUUUUAUACCAAUACUUUAGCAAAAUUAAUAACAUAACCAUCAUAAACCAGCCGGAUAUGUGUUUUUCAUAAUAGAAAGUGGUACGUUAAUAUUUACACGUUGAUGUGCUACGCGAUGUUAAAGUGCGAUAACUCUCUAACGUGAAGCGUCGCUUUUGUUCGGUACUAAUGUUGGGCAAUGGAUUUGGCAACUCCCACUUUUAGGUAACAAGAGAUAAAUCAAUCACCUAUGAAGAAAUCGGAAAAAACUUAACACAAAUAGUGCUUCUUUGUGUCAGCUCUAAACAAUGUCGAUAUAGAAUAUACCAAACCUCCAGAACCUCCUCAGGCUGAUUUCAUACACAUACAAUAAUGGGUCAAUUUAUGAGAUACAUAUCUUAAUAAAAUCGAGUAUGCAUAAUGAAUCAAUAUUAUUUUUUUCCUUCUUCUGGAUGAGCUAAGAACUUACCAUAUAUUAUGGCUGGGAUCUAAGUGAUAAGAAAAUCGCUGCAUUUGUUUCUGACGGAGGAUCCAAUAUUAAGGGAGCUAUUAAAAGUGAAUUCGGCAGUGAAAAACACAUUUCGUUUAUUGCACACGGCAUCAACAAUAUCGGGCAAAGACUGAUUGACAUAAAUGUAACCCCAUCAGCAUCUGAAUCUGAAGAUCAAAUAGUCGAACUUCCUUUAAAAGAAGACGAUAUUAUCGAUGAUUCUAUAAAACUGAAGAUUUUAAGUCAGAUACUGUGACAGGGCGUCAAUUACAAAAAAAAAAAAACUCACUCAAGAAAUUGAAAAUAAAUAUGGAAACAUUGAAUCCUUACGAUGAAAAAGUUACUCCAGUUAUUGAAGCCCAAGGAUCUCAAAAAGACGAAAAAUGCGAUGAUAUUUGAUGAAGCUGUCAAGCACAACCAGUCUCAAGCAGAUACUGAUGAAGCGAGAGGAUUUCCGAUACAGUUGCGUCAGUAUUUAAAUCGUCCAGUGUUGGUUAUCCAAUUAAUUGAUGGUUGGAUGACUAAUUUCAAAAAACGCUUCAGUAUCUGUCUUCUUAAAGAAUGUAAUGGAAAGCUGUCACCUAACGUAAUAAUGUGGGACCAUAUAUAAAGAAGCGAACGUAAUAAAAAAUAAUAACAUUUCCCACGAAGCAAUUUUCAAUGCAGUUGAAUGCGGAAUUUAUUGGAAAUUGUUUGUUGAAGAAACAUAGGCCAAACCGUUCAUAAACAAAUUGCUACCUAUAUGAACUCGAAAUCUGCUUGGAUGAAUACUUUACUAUACAUAUUUUUAACUGAAUAUAUUUGGUUAUUAAUUUGAAAAUAUAGUUUUAUUAUAAGUAAAAAGAAUACCACUGUAUUAUAGAUGUAGUUAUUAUAAAUGUUUAAAAGCUCUUCAACAGUUAUAAGUGCAAAGUGUUAUUAAAUUAUAUGAUUUGCACAUGAUAUGCGUGUUUUUUAAUUUUGCUAAAUUAAAUACAGAUUGCUAUGAAAAAAGUUGUCUAAAUGAUUAA